GGAAAACUUUGCACCAUACCAGAAU
This 25-nucleotide non-coding RNA is filed under the name Cricetulus griseus (Chinese hamster). The record is from RNAcentral. Lineage: Eukaryota; Metazoa; Chordata; Mammalia; Rodentia; Cricetidae.